Molecule: ribosomal RNA, 250 nt
Filed under: uncultured bacterium
Lineage: Bacteria
Description: partial 16S ribosomal RNA
Rfam family: Bacterial small subunit ribosomal RNA
Source: RNAcentral
GAUGAACGCUGGCGGCAUGUCUAAGGCAUGCAAGUCUUAGGGUAGUAGCAAUACUGCCCUGGCAAACGGGUGAGUAACACAUUGGUAACUUGCCUCCGUCUCGGGCAUAACCCUGCGAAAGCGGGGACAAUUCCCGAUAGUCAUGCGGGGUCGUAAGACAUUCGCAUGUAAAGUUCCGACGGACGGAGAGAGGCCUAUGGCCCAUCAGCUAGUUGGUAGGGUAAUGGCCUACCAAGGCUAUGACGGGUAG